GAUGAACGCUGGCGGCGUGCUUAACACAUGCAAGUCGAACGAUGAAGCUCAGCUUGCUGGGUGGAUUAGUGGCGAAUGGGUGAGUAACACGUGAGUAACCUGCCCUUAACUCUGGGAUAAGCCUGGGAAACUAGGUCUAAUACCGGAUAGGAGCGCCUACCGCAUGGUGGGUGUUGGAAAGAUUUAUCGGUUUUGGAUGGACUCGCGGCCUAUCAGCUUGUUGGUGAGGUAAUGGCUCACCAAGGCGACGACGGGUAGCCGGCCUGAGAGGGUGACCGGCCACACUGGGACUGAGACACGGCCCAGACUCCUACGGGAGGCAGCAGUGGGGAAUAUUGCACAAUGGGCGAAAGCCUGAUGCAGCGACGCCGCGUGAGGGAUGACGGCCUUCGGGUUGUAAACCUCUUUCAGUAGGGAAGAAGCGAAAGUGACGGUACCUGCAGAAGAAGCACCGGCUAACUACGUG
This 466-nucleotide ribosomal RNA is filed under the name uncultured bacterium. RNAcentral's name for it is "partial 16S ribosomal RNA". It matches the Rfam family "Bacterial small subunit ribosomal RNA", at positions 28 to 507 of the family's 1533-position model. The record is from RNAcentral.